UGCCCAUGAUUUUUUCCUUUGAUUUAGAGGAUUUUCCAUGUAAAUCUUAAGUUUACAUUAAUCUUUACUUUUUUUCAAUUUCUCUUUUAUUUAGCGUCUUGCUACAAUAACAUUUUCCAAGAGAAGGAUAAGGACAAUUACUAGCACGCAAGGUUCAUGCACAUACAUUAUGUUGUUGAUAGCAUGUAUUUAUCCAAAAAUCUGCCGGCUAAAUCUAGACUUUCU
Molecule: long non-coding RNA, 225 nt
Filed under: Elaeis guineensis (African oil palm)
Lineage: Eukaryota; Viridiplantae; Streptophyta; Magnoliopsida; Arecales; Arecaceae
Description: long non-coding RNA (EGUI_LNC037326)
Source: RNAcentral